Molecule: long non-coding RNA, 6675 nt
Filed under: Haliotis rubra (blacklip abalone)
Lineage: Eukaryota; Metazoa; Mollusca; Gastropoda; Lepetellida; Haliotidae
Description: uncharacterized LOC124280895, transcript variant X3
Source: RNAcentral
AACACAAUUAACAUUCGAAAGUCAACUGGACACCGGUACAGAGUGAUAUACAAAUUUGCUUGCCUAGCAGACAAAAACACUGGACUCGGAUGUCGGGCAAUGGGUUAUUUCCACCCCUGGUAAUCAUCAAAUCUGAUAGUACAGACUACUACACUGUUUGAUUACUUUACAGGAACCUUGUGUAACCUGAAUAAUAAUUGGGGGUCCUCUGGACACCAUUUUGUAAAACCCUUGUACAGAUGGAUUUUUUGGUUUUACUAGUUUCUGAAUUGCAUUUGUGAAUCUAUUUAGAUCCUGAAACCUCACUGGGGUCAGGAAGGCGAGGUCUGAAAAACACUAACCACUCAACCCAGUUUUCUUUGACAUGAUAUAUUUGAAAAUAUUUGAAGGUGACAAUGUUUCGAAAUUACUGAUAGCAUUUGGUAGUAUGAUUUCAGUUAACCAAAGUAUUGAUAUCUGAUAUCUUUGCUCUAAAUUAGAUGCUUAAAAAAUAUUUAAUUUAAUUAAGAAUCAUCGUAGAUUGAAAACUAGAUACACCUGAAAAGUUUUGUGUUAUUUACUAAAUAGGAAGGUGUGUGGGAACAAGGCUGAACUUGUUAGACCAUAAAGCAUUGCAAGUACUGAUGUUAGAUGUUAAUGAGGGUCCUGGGGUCCUGUAGGGGUGCUGCUAUGUUAAUUUUAACAUGGAUUUGGCUUUGCUUGUUCUUGGACUGUGAUCUUAUGACUGUGAUUGUUGUAAGUCUGUUAAACUAUAGGCAUUACAUUCAUCUUAGUUCUAAUAUCCCUGGGGCGGAGGGGUAGCCUGAUGGUUAAAGCGUUCGCUUGUCAUCCCGAAGACCUGGGUUCGAUUCCCCACAUGAGUACAAUGUGUGAAGCUCAUUUCUGGUGUCCCCCGCCGUGAUAUUGCUGGAAUAUUGCUAAAAGUGGCGUAAGACCAAACUCACUCACUCUAAUAUCCCUUUGUGGAACGGAACACUGGGUGUGAUACUGUGCUAGUCUUCUUUAAUGACGAGAAUUAAGCAAUCUUAGUGCUAAGGUGAUUAUAACUUCAGUGUGUACCCCACACUAACAGCAAUCAAAUCUCUUUCAAUCAGUGAUAGUGAAACAAGGCUUUCAUCUAAGCAUCCGCAUUCUUUGUGUAAGUAACCUUGAUAAUAUUGUCAUUGUCGGCAAGCAAGUUAUCAGUUAGAUAGACAACCCUGGCUACAUGUUAAUCUUCCAAACUAUUUCUUUGUGUCUUCAAAACACACUGCUUAAAAACAUCUCGUUCCAAAUCAUAAAACAACAGAGACAUACAGACUGUAUAUUUCCUCACACCCAAUAUGGAAUAAUCUGUUUCUUCAAUAUUCACUAUAGCCUGAAUGUUUUAACGACAACAUUUCACUUCUACUACUCUGAUUAUUCUUAAUUUUGGUUAUCAUGGUAUUAACCUUAGUUUUCUACCUGGGGCGGUGGCUAGCCUAGUGGUUAAAGCAUUCGCUCAUCAAGGCGAAGACCUGGGUUUGAUUCCCCACAUUGGUACAAUGUGUGAAGCCCAUUUCUGAUGUUCCCGUUGUGAUAUUGCUGGCAUAUUGCUAAAAGCAGCAUAAAACUAAACUCACUCACUCACUCUAGCCUGAUUAUUCUUAAUUUUGUUUACCACGGUGAUAACCUUAGUUUUUUACCCUGUUUAUAUUGCACUGAUGAGCGACCAUGCCUGCCAUCAGCUUAAUGAAGUGCAGUAUCGACUUGGUGGAAUUUACAAAGUAGUUCGUAUUCUUAUUUUUACAGCUUUAUUACCUACUGAGAUUUGUAUCUGUGUGCUGGUUAGGAAAUAUUAUAAUGAAGUGCUAUAUUUAGUUCUCAUUUUGAAUAAAAAAAUUCUCGUGUUUUAUUUACUUUUUGGAUAUGGACUCGUUUUUCUGCAUUUCUCUUUACAUGUGAAGCUAAAAUUAAGUGGUCUUCACAUAGUAAAGCAUGACUUACUACUGAUUGUGGAUCGGAGUAUCAGUGAGAUAUGAUUUGUAUUGGAUAGUGCUCAACUGGUUGAUAGAUUGCAGUAGUUGUAAAUCAACUUGCCAUCGGAACUUUUGUUUGGGUUAUAUGACAGGAAAAAGGGGCCCAUUGAAGGUGUAGAGCUUUGAUACAAGGCAUCCUUGAGCCUGUAUUAUCACAAUGUAAAUUUAAAUGGACGCUUAGCUUCAGUUCCCGGGAUUAAAUCCGAGUCAUUUAGCUUCUCUGGGAGUGGACUGUUCGUAAUGUCAUGCUUUGACUAGACUGAUUUUCAUUGCGAUUUUUGCCAGAAAUUUGGCUUAACUUAGCUUUGUCAUGUGAAUGGGAAAGGAGGCCCUUUAAGGGUUUGUUUAUCAGUUACUUCAAAGUAAAUAUUAUUAUUUGUUGUACCAGUUGAGCACAGACUCACGUUUAGUGAGUGUCAAAAAGAUAAAGGUUUAACUGUGUGUCUUUUGUAAUAGGAUUAAUUGGUUUUCCAUUUAAUUUGAAUAACAUUGCCAAGCCUGAGAUAAUUGUUUUUCUAGUCUAUUCUUUUUGUUACAUUGAUGACCUCAGGGUGUGAAAAUAUUGUGUUAUUAAGUAGCAAGAUGUCAACUUGUUUUAUGGUGCUGUUUUCUGUAGGACAUGAUAGAGGCCCUGUGGCAUUUAUGACAGGGAUUACCUAAAUGGAUAAUCCUUCAGCUUAUUAGGUUCAGUACUAGAUUAUAUCUUCAUUGUCUGAUUUUGACAUGUGCCAGUAUAUACAGGGAUAUACUGCUUCUUAGUCUAAAUAAGAUUGCCUGUUGGAUAACUUUUUCCAGUGAACCCAGAGUUCUUUCCCUAAAGCUAAGGAAGGAAAAGACAACAUUAUUCAGUGGUAUAAUUGGGUUAUAGUUUUAGCAUUGUUUUUGUUUAUUAGUGGUAUCUAGGGGCCGAAAUAUAACCUGUAUAUUUCUGUAAGUGCCUGAGAGCUAAAAAUAUUAUUUGAUAUAUCAUAGCAGUAAGGAGUAUGUCGUUAGAAAAUAGAUUCAUUACUCUCAUGGUUAGUUGCAAAUUCGGCAGUAUCUUGUUUAAUUUACUGGGCUUCCAGUUUUCUGUGUAUUCCCCAGGGAGUUGAGAAUGAUGAAGAGCACAUGUGUUACGAACAUACCAACAGGCAAAACAAUGCACUCUUACAUAAUGUAUUUGUUAUUAUUGUUGUAUGUAAGUCUGAGGUAACCUACCGUCAUAGUGAGCAAGCAGUCGUGAAGAAUUUCGACCCACCACAAAGAAACUAGACUAUCUUUCAAACCUGUUUGCAGUGUACUUAUUGAGUCAAGUCGUACCAGAAUCACUACUUUGCAAUAUAUGAAAAUAUAGAUCUGAUAAAAUAUCAAUCUUUUUGUCAUAUCUUGACUUAGGCAAAAUUCCUACCACUACCGCAAGCAUUAGCAUUUAUAAACUGUCUUCAUUUCUUUCAAGAAUCAAUGUAUGUUAUUAUGAUAUUGUAAAAAUGCUGAUGUUUGUUCUUUGAAAACCAAAUUCUCUCAGUCUUAUGCCUGUUGCCUGGGUUCUGAUACAGAUGAGAGUUUGAGGACAAAGUGUCUAGUGGUAUAUUUUUUUUUUUGUUUUGUUUUUGAGAAUUAUAAAAUUAUUUGUUAUUGUAAUUACGGACCAACAUAUUGUAGAAUGUCCCAUACCAGUAUAAUCAAAAGUGCUGUGGUUGAAAAUGUGUUUACAUGAUUUUUGUGUGUUUAACAAACAAUAUUUAACCUGCAAUCAAAACUGAAUAAAGUUACAGUACAUUUAUAUAUUAUCCUGUACCUUUUGGCAUAUAGACUGUGAAACAGGUAAUGCUGAAAUUAAAUUUGUUCCGACCUUAUACAUAUAAUAAUGUAAAUGGAGAAUUAUAACUGUAGUUUUUGCUGAAGUUAGUUCACAACCAGCUUCUAACGUAUUUAGUGCUAGAUCCCUCUAUAGGAUAGUUGAUGUGUACUGUUAUGUAAUUAAAAUGAAAUCUUUAGAUAAUGACAUAUAUGUCAUAAUAGACAUAUUUUUAAAGAUGACAGAGACCUCAGGAGAGUGACACUGUGGAUUAUUUGUGUUUUGUAUGCUAUGAAAGUAAUGAUGUUGAUACAUUGUACAGUGAUGUAGUCCGUUACUUUGUUAUCUGUAUAUUGAACCUCACUCAAGCACCUGUCUUACAUUCAGUGCACAUCCAAAUUUAAAUAUUUUUUAAAACAAAAUCUGCAAGGUGUGCCUCAGUCUGUGAUAAAUUUGUGUAGAUAUUCUAGUCCCACCUGAGCUAUUUUUUGUGUAUUCAUUUUCUGAAACGUCCACUUUUAAGUCUGACAGUGCUGUGUUAUUUUGUAGCCUGUUUCUAGGCCCUAUUGUUUGCAAUGUCAAGACGCAAUAGUAAUGUGAUGCUGUAUGUGUAUUGUAUAUCUUCAGUAUAUAUUUGUACUAUAGAAUUUGGGGUAAACCAUCUUCAGAAUAUGUGGUUCCUUUGUUGGUUGGUUGGUUGUUUAAUGCCGCACUCAGCAAUAUUACAGCUAUAUGGCGGCGGUCUGUAAAUAAUGGAGUCUGGACCAGAGAAUCCAUUGACAGUUCCUUUAUACACCAAUACAUGAACUUCCAAUUUUGUUGCCAUAGUUUCAAGAGUAGACAUUCAGUUGCUUCAAGAAAUUGGAUAGUCAUGCUGAGUGGAUUUACAUUUCUCAUUACCCAUGUUUCACAAAAAAUACAGUUAAAAUGUAGCAAAAUGGGGUCGAGUGAUUCUUCUUUCAGAAACAGCAGUAAUCUAGACUUACCAACUAUUCUAGACUUGCAUGGGCUCCUUAGACUUUUUUAUGAUCUGUAGCAGACUUAUAGGUGGCCAACUUUUAGCUUAAAGGGACAAAUAGGUGGCCAACUUUUAGCUUAAAGGGACAAAUAGGUGGCCAAUAGACUUUUUUAUAAUCUGUAUUGCAGACUUAUAGGUGGCCAACUUUUAGCUAAAAGCGACCAAUAGGUGGCUAACUUUUAGCUAAAAACGACCAAUAGGUGGCCAACUUUUAGCUAAAAGCGCUCAGUAGGUGGUCAACUUUUAGCUAAAAGCGACCAAUAGGUGGCCAACUUUCAGCUAAAAGCGACCAAUUAGGUGGCCAGCCUCUGCCAAACUUGAACUCUACCAGCAAACUAAGGUGACACAGCUACCUUCUUGUUUCUGAAUAUGGUUUACCAGAGGUUAGUCCCAGCACUGUGUGUUACAAUCAGUUUGAUUCUUUGUAUGCAUUUAUAGAGGAAUACUGUCUCCAGAUCUAUUGUUUUGUUCAUUGUAAUAUUGUUUAUUUUGUACUGUUAGUCAUUCUUGCUCAAGGCAGAUAUAUGUGCAUUUUGUAGUUCUAGAUAAUUAUAGUCAUGGUGUAAUAACAUAUAGCUGAUGUUCAGUGGAACACAUCUGUCUGAAUGGAACUCAAAUCUUGAAAGGAAGUGAUUCCCUGCUGUGAAGUUCUGAAAUGACAUUCUCAUGUAGUGAGCAUCAUAUACAACUGAACAAAGUUAUUUGUCACAGAUUUGUUUCAUCUUACACAGCUUGACAGACUUGUAGUAAUAGGAAAGAACUGUGUGAUCCUGAACUGACUGAUUAGUAUGUGUUGAUGCUAAAUCAAAACAACUUCACCCUUUGUGAAGACUUCAAUCUGAGGUUGCUUCAGGUGAACUUUAAUCAACCAGUGAGCAUUGAGGCUUGUAAAGUGCCAUCAGAGCUUUCAGAACAGCACAUCUGAUUUCAGUAUCUCACAAAUAUAUAUAUACAUGCAGGCAUUCCAAACUGAAAUAUUACAAAGGUCUUUGCUUUGUUUUAUAAACCCUAUUGUUUCCUAUGGCAUCUUCACCCAUGAAUAGGGGUGGUGGGGUAGCCUAAUGGUUAAAGCGUUGGCUCGUCACGCCGAAGACCCGGUUCGAAUCCCCACAUGGGUACAAUGUGUGAAGCCCAUUUCAGGUGUACCCCCGCCAUGAUGUUGCUGGAAUAUUGCUAAAAGCGGCGUAAAACCAAACUCAGUCAGUCAGUCAGUCACCCAUGAAUAUGCUCGAUGAAAGAAAUAUUUAUCUUCUGUAUGGGUUUUCUUUUCUGAAAUUAGUUUCAUAAUCAAGGUGGCACAGAAAUGAAAGUCAUUUAUAAAGCUGAUAACGUAUUGGCUCAAUAAUUAGAUUGUGCGGUCAAAAUUUGCUCAUGGUCCACCUGGUGUGACUUCUUAUUAAAGUGGUUUUGCCGACACUCAUGCAGAGAGGUUGUUCCAUCAUGGAAAUACAUGGCUUGUGGAAAGGUCUUCUCUUUUUACCAGAGGAUGUAGCAGUCCUAUCAGAUUAGUACAUCUAGAGGUGAGAAGAAUCUCCACAAACCAUAUACACCCAUGUUGAUGCAGGGAAUCAAAAACACUAGAUAUUCAAAAUGUCUUUGCCUUAGAUUGUAGUUUCUCUUUGAAAUGCAGAACAGAGAACUGCUGCUUUCAAACACUGAAUAGGUUAUAUGAGUGACAAACCAAAGAUAUUUGAUUUAUUUAUGCAAACACAUAUUUCUUGCCAUCAGUUAAAGUCUGUGUGAAGUUAAUGUUUAAGUUGCUUGUAACCUGAAUAUAUUUUGUCAAACAGAAUUCCAUAAUUGUGAUCUUCACAAGCCAUUGCCCAGUGUAUUCAUUUAUUGAGCAUGAUAUAACAUAUAUCAGAAAUAAACCUAUACAUUCA